This 257-nucleotide signal recognition particle RNA is filed under the name human gut metagenome. RNAcentral's name for it is "Bacterial large signal recognition particle RNA". It matches the Rfam family "Bacterial large signal recognition particle RNA". Rfam says of the family: The signal recognition particle (SRP) is a universally conserved ribonucleoprotein involved in the co-translational targeting of proteins to membranes. The record is from RNAcentral.
CGCACUAGCCGGGGAGGCAGCGGCGCCCUGUACUUGCAAUCCGCUAUAGCAAGGGUGAUGCCCCCUCCCGGGUGGCGUUUGUAUGGCCUGUCUUUUGUAAGUGGCGAUGAGAUUUGGGUCCUGCGCAACACGUCUUUGUGAACCUCGUCAGGUCGGGAACGAAGCAGCGAUAAGCAAAGCAGCGUGUGUGCCGCGGGGUUGCCUGAGUUGAGUUAACUGCAAACGCAACGCAUGGAGGCGCCAUUCAAAAGGGGGCG